GCGGGAUAAAAACACUGCCCGGUUGGUAGUCCGGGCGCUGCCGGGGAUUUCUCCGGGCAGUCAGUAACCUGCCUCCUUUGGUUGUCCGUUCCCGCU
This 96-nucleotide non-coding RNA is filed under the name human gut metagenome. RNAcentral's name for it is "yjdF RNA". It matches the Rfam family "azaaromatic riboswitch aptamer (yjdF RNA)", at positions 6 to 91 of the family's 101-position model. The record is from RNAcentral.